UUAGCCUUAAACCUCAAUAAUUUGACAACAAAAUUAUUUGCCAGAGAACUACUAGCUACAGCUUAAAACUCAAAGGACUUGGCGGUACUUUAUAUCCAC
This 99-nucleotide ribosomal RNA is filed under the name vertebrate environmental sample. RNAcentral describes it as "partial 12S ribosomal RNA". Lineage: Eukaryota; Metazoa; Chordata. The record is from RNAcentral.